RNAcentral lists this small RNA (982 nucleotides) under uncultured Myxococcales bacterium. RNAcentral describes it as "bacterial SSU rRNA". The stretch from base 1 to 469 matches the Rfam family "Bacterial small subunit ribosomal RNA", at positions 1064 to 1533 of the family's 1533-position model. Lineage: Bacteria; Pseudomonadati; Myxococcota; Myxococcia; Myxococcales. The record is from RNAcentral.
GUCGUGAGAUGUUGGGUUAAGUCCCGCAACGAGCGCAACCCCUGUCGUUAGUUGCCAACAGGAAAGCUGGGCACUCUAACGAGACUGCCGACGUUAAGUCGGAGGAAGGUGGGGAUGACGUCAAGUCCUCAUGGCCCUUAUGCCCAGGGCUACACACGUGCUACAAUGGCUGGUACAAAGGGUUGCAAGCUCGCGAGAGUAAGCCAAUCUCAAAAAACCAGUCUCAGUUCGGAUAGAAGUCUGCAACUCGACUUCUUGAAGUCGGAAUCGCUAGUAAUCCCGGAUCAGCACGCCGGGGUGAAUACGUUCCCGGGCCUUGUACACACCGCCCGUCACACCAUGGGAGUCAGUUGCUCCAGAAGUGGCUUGCCUAACCGUAAGGAGGGCGGUCCCUAAGGAGUGGCUGGUAACUGGGGUGAAGUCGUAACAAGGUAACCGUAGGGGAACCUGCGGUUGGAUCACCUCCUUUCUGGAGUCACCCGGCCCUCGUGGCUGGGGACACUAGGUCAGUCCCGAGUCUUCUCUUUCUUCGCGUUCAGUUUUGAAGGACCGACUGGGCCUGUAGCUCAGUUGGUUAGAGCACACGCUUGAUAAGCGUGGGGUCGUUAGUUCAAGUCUAACCAGGCCCACAGGUAGCAGCAUUGACAACUGAAUAGCAGGACGAAGCGCGAAUUUGUAUCCACGUGUUUUUCAGGCUCUUUUAGUAAGAGCAAGUACGUGGUGCGAGAUUCGUUGAGUCCAAGAAGUAUCUCGCCCCCCAGGGGGCCCCGAUAGGGAGCCGCCUACGGCGGGUGAGAUCGUAUCUCGAAGAGCGAACCUUGGUCUUGACCCCGCAGGGUGCCCGGAAUAGAGGGCACCGAUAGGCUGGUGGUCAAGCUAGUAAGGGCACUCGGUGGAUGCCUUGGCGUCAGGAGGCGAUGAAGGACGUGGUUAGCUGCGAUAAGCUGUGCGGAGCCGCAAGCAGGCGUCGAUGCGCAGAUGU